UAGUNUUUNUUCUAUGGCUCAGGAUGAACGCNGGCGGCGUGCNUAAUACAUGCAAGUNGAACGCUUUGUGGUUCAACUGAUUUGAAGAGCUUGCUCUGAUAUGACGAUGGACAUUGCAAAGAGUGGCGAACGGGUGAGUAACACGUGGGAAACCUACCUCUUAGCAGGGGAUAACAUUUGGAAACAGAUGCUAAUACCGUAUAACAAUAGCAACCGCAUGGUUGCUACUUAAAAGAUGGUUCUGCUAUCACUAAGAGAUGGUCCCGCGGUGCAUUAGUUAGUUGGUGAGGUAAUGGCUCACCAAGACGAUGAUGCAUAGCCGAGUUGAGAGACUGAUCGGCCACAAUGGGACUGAGACACGGCCCAUACUCCUACGGGAGGCAGCAGUAGGGAAUCUUCCACAAUGGGCGAAAGCCUGAUGGAGCAACGCCGCGUGUGUGAUGAAGGGUUUCGGCUCGUAAAACACUGUUGUAAGAGAAGAAUGACAUUGAGAGUAACUGUUCAAUGUGUGACGGUAUCUUACCAGAAAGGAACGGCUAAAUACGUGCCAGCAGCCGCGGUAAUACGUAUGUUCCAAGCGUUAUCCGGAUUUAUUGGGCGUAAAGCGAGCGCAGACGGUUAUUUAAGUCUGAAGUGAAAGCCCUCAGCUCAACUGAGGAAUUGCUUUGGAAACUGGAUGACUUGAGUGCAGUAGAGGAAAGUGGAACUCCAUGUGUAGCGGUGAAAUGCGUAGAUAUAUGGAAGAACACCAGUGGCGAAGGCGGCUUUCUGGACUGUAACUGACGUGAGNU
Molecule: ribosomal RNA, 791 nt
Filed under: Weissella cibaria
Lineage: Bacteria; Bacillati; Bacillota; Bacilli; Lactobacillales; Lactobacillaceae
Description: bacterial SSU rRNA
Rfam family: Bacterial small subunit ribosomal RNA
Source: RNAcentral